This 69-nucleotide transfer RNA is filed under the name Haania sp. JZ-2017. RNAcentral describes it as "tRNA-Leu". Lineage: Eukaryota; Metazoa; Arthropoda; Insecta; Mantodea; Haaniidae. The record is from RNAcentral.
UCUAAUAUGGCAGAACACAAGUGCCAUGGAUUUAAACUCCAUUUAUAAAGAAAUACUCUUUUUUUAGAA